AGAGCGAACGCUGGCGGCAGGCCUAACACAUGCAAGUCGAACGGACUCUUCGGAGUUAGUGGCGGACGGGUGAGUAACACGUGGGAACGUGCCUUUUGGUUCGGAAUAGCUCCUGGAAACGGGUGGUAAUGCCGAAUGUGCCCUUCGGGGGAAAGAUUUAUCGCCAUUAGAGCGGCCCGCGUCUGAUUAGCUAGUUGGUGAGGUAAAGGCUCACCAAGGCGACGAUCAGUAGCUGGUCUGAGAGGAUGACCAGCCACAUUGGGACUGAGACACGGCCCAAACUCCUACGGGAGGCAGCAGUGGGGAAUCUUGCGCAAUGGGCGAAAGCCUGACGCAGCCAUGCCGCGUGAAUGAUGAAGGUCUUAGGAUUGUAAAAUUCUUUCACCGGGACGAUAAUGACGUACCCGGAGAAGAAGCCCGGCUAACUUCGUGCCAGCACGCCGC
RNAcentral lists this ribosomal RNA (444 nucleotides) under uncultured soil bacterium. RNAcentral describes it as "bacterial SSU rRNA". It matches the Rfam family "Bacterial small subunit ribosomal RNA", at positions 26 to 518 of the family's 1533-position model. The record is from RNAcentral.